GUCCGAAUCCACACUGUCUAGCUUGUUAAUGGAAGUAUAGGAGUUCCAUCCUCGAGAAAAUGGAAGAGGGGUUUACCUUCUGAAGUUGCAGCCAUGGCGGCCCCAACAAAGGGUUUGAUUGCCAUCAAGGGAAUGCUGCACUGAACAACUGCGAAUCUACCACAAUCAAGAUAAACCCUAACGCCGGAAACGAAAAUUAAAAAAACCAAAAAGGAACCAAUUACAAAUCAAAC
Molecule: long non-coding RNA, 233 nt
Organism: Ipomoea nil (Japanese morning glory)
Lineage: Eukaryota; Viridiplantae; Streptophyta; Magnoliopsida; Solanales; Convolvulaceae
Exons: 2
Source: RefSeq, a predicted model, not a curated record